Molecule: ribosomal RNA, 469 nt
Filed under: uncultured bacterium
Lineage: Bacteria
Description: partial 16S ribosomal RNA
Rfam family: Bacterial small subunit ribosomal RNA
Source: RNAcentral
GACGAACGCUGGCGGCGUGCUUAACACAUGCAAGUCGAACGGAAAGGCCCUGCUUGCAGGGUGCUCGAGUGGCGAACGGGUGAGUAACACGUGGGUGAUCUGCCCCUUAUUUUGGGAUAAGCCUGGGAAACUGGGUCUAAUACUGGAUAGGACCAUGCUGUAGGUGGUGUGGUGGAAAGAUUAGUUUCGGUAAGGGAUGAGCUCGCGGCCUAUCAGCUUGUUGGUGGGGUAAUGGCCUACCAAGGCGUCGACGGGUAGCCGGCCUGAGAGGGUGGACGGCCACAUUGGGACUGAGAUACGGCGCAGACUCCUACGGGAGGCAGCAGUGGGGAAUAUUGCACAAUGGGCGCAAGCCUGAUGCAGCGACGCCGCGUGGGGGAUGACGGCCUUCGGGUUGUAAACUCCUUUCAGCCAUGACGAAGCCCUUGUGGUGACGGUAGUGGUAGAAGAAGCACCGGCUAACUACGUG